UUGACCUCAUACACGUACAGAAUACCCGCUGAACUUAA
RNAcentral lists this ribosomal RNA (38 nucleotides) under Blastobotrys mucifer. RNAcentral describes it as "[Candida] mucifera partial 28S ribosomal RNA". Lineage: Eukaryota; Fungi; Ascomycota; Dipodascomycetes; Dipodascales; Trichomonascaceae. The record is from RNAcentral.